GACGAACGCUGGCGGCGUGCCUAACACAUGCAAGUCGAACGGAAAGGCCCUGCUUUUGUGGGGUGCUCGAGUGGCGAACGGGUGAGUAACACGUGAGUAACCUGCCCUUGACUUUGGGAUAACUUCAGGAAACUGGGGCUAAUACCGGAUAGGAGCCCCUGCUGCAUGGUGGGGGUUGGAAAGUUUCGGCGGUUGGGGAUGGACUCGCGGCUUAUCAGCUUGUUGGUGGGGUAGUGGCUUACCAAGGCUUUGACGGGUAGCCGGCCUGAGAGGGUGACCGGCCACAUUGGGACUGAGAUACGGCCCAGACUCCAACGGGAGGCAGCGGUGGGGAGUAUUGCACAAUGGGCGGAAGCCUGAUGCAGCGACGCCGCGUGCGGGAUGACGGCCUUCGGGUUGUAAACCGCUUUCGCCUGUGACGAAGCGUGAGUGACGGUAAUGGGUAAAGAAGCACCGGCUAACUACGUG
This 468-nucleotide ribosomal RNA is filed under the name uncultured bacterium. RNAcentral's name for it is "partial 16S ribosomal RNA". It matches the Rfam family "Bacterial small subunit ribosomal RNA", at positions 28 to 507 of the family's 1533-position model. The record is from RNAcentral.